UCCGCGACCGCGGACGGGUNCGUAACGCGUAUGUAACCUACCUUGACAGGGGGAUAACAUCGAGAAAUUGGUACUAAUACCCCAUAACAUCACCGGAGGCAUCUUCGGUGGUUGAAAACUCAGGUGGUCAGAGAUGGACAUGCGUUGUAUUAGCUAGUUGGUGAGGUAACGGCUCACCAAGGCGACGAUACAUAGGGGGACUGAGAGGUCAACCCCCCACAUUGGUACUGAGACACGGACCAAACUCCUACGGAAGGCAGCAG
This 263-nucleotide ribosomal RNA is filed under the name uncultured bacterium. Its description in RNAcentral is "partial 16S ribosomal RNA". It matches the Rfam family "Bacterial small subunit ribosomal RNA", at positions 89 to 354 of the family's 1533-position model. The record is from RNAcentral.